AGUGAGUUGGGCAGUUGCGGGGCGCUUUUGCGCAACGAGGAAAGUCCGAGCUUCAUACAGCGGGAUAACGGCUAACGGCCGCCGAGGGUGACCUUAGGGAAAGUGCAACAGAAAGAAACCGCCGUUUUACGGUAAGGAUGGAAAGGCGAGGUAAGAGCUCACCGGCGUGCAGGAGACUGUACGGCCAUGUAAACCCUAUCCGAAGCAACACCGACAGGAUAAGGCAUUUUGCCCGUGUCAGCUGGGCACGUAAAUCCGAAAGGUGGCUUGAGCCUUUGGGCAACCAAAGGCCUAGACAGAUGACUGCCUUCAAAGACAGAACUCGGCUUACAGAUUCACUCA
Molecule: RNase P RNA, 342 nt
Filed under: pig gut metagenome
Description: Bacterial RNase P class A
Rfam family: Bacterial RNase P class A
About the family: Ribonuclease P (RNase P) is a ubiquitous endoribonuclease, found in archaea, bacteria and eukarya as well as chloroplasts and mitochondria. Its best characterised activity is the generation of mature 5'-ends of tRNAs by cleaving the 5'-leader elements of precursor-tRNAs. Cellular RNase Ps are ribonucleoproteins.
Source: RNAcentral